This is a long non-coding RNA of Gallus gallus (chicken), 3000 nucleotides long. Lineage: Eukaryota; Metazoa; Chordata; Aves; Galliformes; Phasianidae. The record is from Ensembl.
GGAUCACCAGGAUCUCACUAUGGGAUCAGCGGGCUGUCUGUAUGGGAUCAGCAGACUGUUCCUAUGGGAUCUGUAGGCUGUCUGUAUGGGAUCAGCAGGCUGUCCCUAUGGGAUCAGUAGGCUGUCCGUAUGGGAUCAGAAGGCUGUCCAUGUGGGAUCAGUGGGCUGUCUGUAUGGGAUCAGCAGGCUGUUCCUAUGGGAUCAGCAGGAUCUCACUAUGGGAUCAGUGGGCUGUCUGUAUGGGAUCAGCAGGAUCUCACUAUGGGAUCAGCAGGCUGUCCCUAUGGGAUCAGUAGGAUCUCACUAUGGGACCACCAGGCUGUCCGUGUGGGAUCAGUGGGCUGUCUGUAUGGGAUGAGGCGGCUGUCCAUAUGGAAUCAGUGGGCUGUCUGUAUGGGAUCAGUAGGAUCUCACUAUGGGACCACCAGGCUGUCUGUAUGGGAUCAGCAGGCUGUCCCUAUGGGAUCAGUAGGCUGUCUGUAUGGGAUCAGAAGGCUGUCCGUGUGGGAUCAGUGGGCUGUCUGUAUGGGAUCAGCAGGCUGUUCCUAUGGGAUCAGCAGGAUCUCACUAUGGGAUCAGUGGGCUGUCUGUAUGGGAUCAGAAGGUUGUCCGUGUGGGAUCAGUGGGCUGUCUGUAUGGGAUCAGCAGGAUCUCACUAUGGGAUCAGUAGGAUCUCUCUAUGGGAUCAGCAGGAUCUCACUAUGGGAUCAGCAGGCUGUCCGUGUGGGAUCAGUGGGCUGUCUGUAUGGGAUGAGGCGGCUGUCCGUAUGGGAUCAGUGGGCUGUCUGUAUGGGAUCAGCAGGAUCUCACUAGGGGAUCAGUAGGCUGUCUGUAUGGGAUCAGAAGGUUGUCCGUGUGGGAUCAGUGGGCUGUCUGUAUGGGAUCAGCAGGAUCUCACUAUGGGAUCAGUAGGAUCUCUCUAUGGGAUCAGCAGGAUCUCACUAUGGGACCACCAGGCUGUCCGUAUGGGAUCAGUGGGCUGUCUGUAUGGGAUGAGGUGGCUGUCCAUAUGGAAUCAGUGUGCUGUCUGUAUGGGAUCAGUAGGAUCUCACUAUGGGAUCAGCAGGCUGUCCGUAUGGGAUCAGAAGGCUGUCUGUGUGGGAUCGGUGGGCUGUCUGUAUGGGAUCAGCAGGCUGUUCCUAUGGGAUCAGUAGGAUCUCUCUAUGGGAUCAGCAGGAUCUCACUAUGGGAUCAGUAGGAUCUCACUAUGGGACCACCAGGCUGUCCGUGUGGGAUCAGUGGGCUGUCUGUAUGGGAUGAGGUGGCUGUCCGUAUGGGAUCAGUGGGUUGUCUGUAUGGGAUCAGCAGGAUCUCACUAUGGGACCACCAGGCUGUCCGUGUGGGAUCAGUGGGCUGUCUGUAUGGGAUGAGGCGGCUGCCCGUAUGAUAUCAGUGGGCUGUCUGUAUGGGAUCAGCAGGAUCUCACUAUGGGAUCAGCAGGCUGUCCGUAUGGGAUCAGAAGGCUGCCCGUGUGGGAUCAGUGGGCUGUCUGUAUGGGAUCAGCAGGAUCUCACUAUGGGAUCAGUAGGAUCUCUCUAUGGGAUCAGCAGGCUGUCCGUAUGGGAUCAGAAGGCUGCCCGUGUGGGAUCAGUGGGCUGUCUGUAUGGGAUGAGGCGGCUGCCCAUAUGGGAUCAGUGGGCUGUCUGUAUGGGAUCAGCAGGCUGUUCCUAUGGGAUCAGCAGGAUCUCACUAUGGGAUCAGUGAGCUGUCUGUAUGGGAUCAGAAGGCUGUCCGUGUGGGAUCAGUGGGCUGUCUGUAUGGGAUCAGCAGGCUGUUCCUAUGGGAUCAGCAGGCUGUCCCUAUGGGAUCAGUAGGCUGUCCGUAUGGGAUCAGAAGGCUGUCCGUGUGGGAUCAGUGGGCUGUCUGUAUGGGAUGAGGCGGCUGCCUGUAUGGGAUCAGUGGGCUGUCUGUAUGGGAUCAGCAGGCUGUUCCUAUGGGAUCAGUGGGCUGUCUGUAUGGGAUCAGCAGGCUGUCACUAUGGGAUCAGUAGGCUGUCCGUAUGGGAUCAGAAGGCUGUCUGUAUGGGAUCAGUAGGAUGUCACUAUGGGAUCAGCAGGCUGUCACUAUGGGAUCACCGCAACGUCACCAUGGGAUCAGAAGGCUGUCUGUAUGGGAUCAGUAGGAUGUCACUAUGGGAUCAGAAGGCUGUCACUAUGGGAUCACCGCAACGUCACCAUGGGAUCAGCAGGCUGUCUGUAUGGGAUCACCAGGAUGUCCCUAUGGGAUCACCAAGCUGUCCCUAUGAGAUCAGCAGGAUGUCACUAUGGGAUCAGCAGGCUGUCUGUAUGGGAUCAGCAGACUGUCCCUAUGGGAUCUGUAGGCUGUCCGUAUGGGAUCAGAAGGCUGACCUAAUGGGAUCAGUGGGCUGUCUGUAUGGGAUCAGCAGGCUGUUCCUAUGGGAUAAGCAGGAUCUCUCUAUGGGAUCAGUAGGAUCUCACUAUGGGACCACCAGGCUGUCCGUGUGGGAUCAGUGGGCUGUCUGUAUGGGAUGAGGCGGCUGUCCAUAUGGAAUCAGUGGGCUGUCUGUAUGGGAUCAGUAGGAUCUCACUAUGGGACCACCAGGCAGUCCGUGUGGGAUCAGUGGGCUGUCUGUAUGGGAUGAGGCGGCUGUCCAUAUGGAAUCAGUGGGCUGUCUGUAUGGGAUCAGUAGGAUCUCACUAUGGGACCACCAGGCUGUCUGUGUGGGAUCAGAAGGCUGUCCCUAUGGGAUCAGUGGGCUGUCCGUAUGGGAUCAGAAGGCUGUCCGUGUGGGAUCAGUGGGCUGUCUGUAUGGGAUCAGCAGGCUGUUCCUAUGGGAUCAGUAGGAUCUCUCCAUGGGAUCAGCACACUGUCCAUAUGGGAUCAAUGGGCUGUCUGUAUGGGAUCAGCAGGCUGUCCGUAUGGGAUCAGCGGGCUGUCUGUAUGGGAUCAGUGGGCUGUCUGUAUGGGAUCAGCAGGAUCUCACUAUGGGACCAUCAGGCUGUCCGUGUGGGAUCAGCGGUGUGGUGCUGUGCGGUGCGG